GGAACAACAAUAUCUCCAGAGACGUUUCGAUCGAAUAAGGUCAAAACGAGCUAAAGAAGGCGAAUCCAAACCAUAAACAAUAAGAAAGGUCGUGUUUUGAGCAACGGAGGCAGAGAAAUUGGAUUGAAUCUAGAAAACCUAGAGGAAAUGCGAUUUGAGGGAAUAAUCUAAAUCGUAGUAUAUAGAUCAGUGAUGAGGAGGAAGAGAGAGAGAGAGAGAGAGAGAGAGAGAGAGAGAGAGAGAGAGAGAGAGAGAGAGAGAGAGAUGGAACCUGAUUGAAAUUGAUCGGAGAUCGUUGACGGAGAUGUAGCUCGGGAGAAAGUUUAUUUAAAGAAGGCGAAGACGAUGAGGAUGAGGAACGGUGAGCAGGGGCGGAUCCAGAAAAUUAUUUAAUAUGGGGUAAAAACUGAAGUCUUCCAGUGGGUUCCAAUCUGAAGCGUAGGCAUAUAAUACAAGAUGCAGUCUGCAAGAGAUGCUAUCAAGAAGAGGAGACUGAAGUACACCUGUUAUUUGAAUGUCUGUAUGCUAAAAUGGUCUGGCGGGCGUCAGGAUUAGCAAACACUAUUCUUACCAAUUCUACUACAACUCUUGAGGAAAAGAUUGAGGAAUGUAUCAGGUGCUGCUCUGUUUCUUCAUUAGCACAAUUACAAGAUCAUCCUAUAUGGAUUUUAUGGAGGCUUUGGAAAAGCCGAAAUAUGCUUAUUUUUCGUAGGAAGGUCAUUCCUUGGAGAAUUCUACUUCAACAGAGUAUCACUGAUGCAAAAGAGUGGCAUGAGAAUUCUCGGGAUAUUGAUACAAGUUACCAAAGUACAAAUCAUCCGACAAGAUGUAACAGAGAGGUACAUUGGAAGAAACCACCAGAAAAUUGGAUGAAGAUCAAUGUUGAUGGAUGUUUUCAAAGUAAUACAGAGAGAAGUAGAGCAGGGUGGGUUUAUCGUGAUCAUUUGGGUGUUUUAUCAUGGAGGAGUACAAGCAGUCGGCAAAAUAGUUAAUACUCCUCUAGAAUCUGAAAUGCAAGCCAUUCUAAUGGCUAUUCAACAUGCUUGGAGUAGAGGUUUUUCUAAGCUCUGUAUUGAGUCUGAUAGUAAGAAGGUGGUGGAUAUAUUAAAUGGAAAAAUUCUACAUUUUGAUAGCUACAAUUGGAAACGAGAGAUUCUUUGGUGGAACAAUCGAUUGGAAGGGGUAAUAUUUCAGUGGAUAGGGCGUGAAGGCAAUAGGGUGGCUGACAAAUUGGUGAAGCAUCAAAUGGAAGACAAUGUUUAUUUCAAAUUUUACUUUUAUGUUCCUAGAUUCUUAUCAAAUGAACUUCACUAUGACUAUGUAUGUUUAACGUAAUAUCAAUGAAGUAAGUGUUAUAAAAAAAAGGUAAAAA
Raphanus sativus (radish) is the source of this 1372-nucleotide long non-coding RNA. RefSeq lists it as uncharacterized. The transcript is spliced from 2 exons. The record is from RefSeq and is a predicted model, not a curated record. NCBI's taxonomy places the organism in Eukaryota, Viridiplantae, Streptophyta, Magnoliopsida, Brassicales, Brassicaceae.